Molecule: ribosomal RNA, 469 nt
Filed under: uncultured Thauera sp.
Lineage: Bacteria; Pseudomonadati; Pseudomonadota; Betaproteobacteria; Rhodocyclales; Zoogloeaceae
Description: bacterial SSU rRNA
Rfam family: Bacterial small subunit ribosomal RNA
Source: RNAcentral
AGACGGGACCCGCACAAGCGGUGGAUGAUGUGGAUUAAUUCGAUGCAACGCGAAAACCUUUACCUACCCUUGACAUGUCUGGAACCUUGCUGAGAGGCGAGGGUGCCUUCGGGAGCCAGAACACAGGUGCUGCAUGGCUGUCGUCAGCUCGUGUCGUGAGAUGUUGGGUUAAGUCCCGCAACGGGCGCAACCCUUGUCAUUAGUUGCCAUCAUUUAGUUGGGCACUCUAAUGAGACUGCCGGUGACAAACCGGAGGAAGGUGGGGAUGACGUCAAGUCCUCAUGGCCCUUAUGGGUAGGGCUUCACACGUCAUACAAUGGUCGGUACAGAGGGUUGCCAAGCCGCGAGGCGGAGCCAAUCCCACAAAGCCGAUCGUAGUCCGGAUUGUUCUCUGCAACUCGAGAGCAUGAAGUCGGAAUCGCUAGUAAUCGCAGGUCAGCAUACUGCGGUGAAUACGUUCCCGGGUCUU